UACGUAGGUGGCAAGCGUUAUCCGGAAUUAUUGGGCGUAAAGAGCUCGCAGGCGGUCUUUUAAGUCUGAUGUGAAAGCCCACGGCUCAACCGUGGAGGGUCAUUGGAAACUGGGAGACUUGAGUGCAGAAGAGGAGAGUGGAAUUCCACGUGUAGCGGUGAAAUGCGUAGAGAUGUGGAGGAACACCAGUGGCGAAGGCGACUCUCUGGACUGUUGCUGACGCUGAGGCGCGAAAGCGUGGGGAGCAAACAGG
This 253-nucleotide unclassified non-coding RNA is filed under the name uncultured Bacillaceae bacterium. RNAcentral describes it as "contains 16S-23S intergenic spacer region". It matches the Rfam family "Bacterial small subunit ribosomal RNA", at positions 524 to 776 of the family's 1533-position model. Lineage: Bacteria; Bacillati; Bacillota; Bacilli; Caryophanales; Bacillaceae. The record is from RNAcentral.